CAUCCUACGGGAGGCAGCAGUGGGGAAUAUUGCACAAUGGGGGGAACCCUGAUGCAGCGACGCCGCGUGAGUGAAGAAGUAUUUCGGUAUGUAAAGCUCUAUCAGCAGGGAAGAAAAUGACGGUACCUGACUAAGAAGCCCCGGCUAACUACGUGCCAGCAGCCGCGGUAAUACGUAGGGGGCAAGCGUUAUCCGGAUUUACUGGGUGUAAAGGGGGCGCAGACGGCAGCGCAAGCCAGGACUGAAAGCCCGCGGCCCACCCCCGGGACUCCCC
RNAcentral lists this ribosomal RNA (274 nucleotides) under uncultured bacterium. RNAcentral describes it as "partial 16S ribosomal RNA". It matches the Rfam family "Bacterial small subunit ribosomal RNA", at positions 335 to 626 of the family's 1533-position model. The record is from RNAcentral.